Molecule: ribosomal RNA, 403 nt
Filed under: uncultured bacterium
Lineage: Bacteria
Description: partial 16S ribosomal RNA
Rfam family: Bacterial small subunit ribosomal RNA
Source: RNAcentral
AUUGAACGCUGGCGGCAGGCCUAACACAUGCAAGUCGAGCGAGCGGCGGACGGGUGAGUAAUGUAUGGGGACUGCCCGAUAGAGGGGGAUAACUACUGGAAACGGUGGCUAAUACCGCAUACUAUCGGAUAACCCAUAUGGGAUUAGCUAGUAGGUGGGGUAAAGGCUCACCUAGGAAACGAUCUCUAGCUGGUCUGAGAGGAUGAUCAGCCACACUGGGACUGAGACACGGCCCAGACUCCUACGGAGGAAGCAGUGGGGAAUAGUGCACAAGGGGCGCAAGCCUGAUGCAGCCAUGCCGCGUGUAUGAGGAAGGCCUUAGGGUUGUAAAGUACUUUCAGCGGGGAGGUGGUACCCACAGAAGAAGCAACGGCUAACUCCGUGCCAGCAGCCGCGGUAAUAC